UGGCGGACGGGUGAGUAACGCGUGGGGAACCUGCCCUGUACCGGGGGAUAGCAGCCGGAAACGGCUGAUAAUACCGCAUAAGCGCACGAAUGUCGCAUGACAUGGUGUGAAAAACUCCGGUGGUAUAGGAUGGACCCGCGUCUGAUUAGCCGGUUGGUGGGUAAAAGCCUACCAAAGCGAAGAUCAGUAGCCGAGUUGAGAGACUGACCGGCCACAUUGGGACUGAGACACGGCCCAGACUCCUACGGGAGGCAGCAGGC
RNAcentral lists this ribosomal RNA (260 nucleotides) under uncultured bacterium. RNAcentral describes it as "partial 16S ribosomal RNA". It matches the Rfam family "Bacterial small subunit ribosomal RNA", at positions 96 to 354 of the family's 1533-position model. The record is from RNAcentral.